RNAcentral lists this ribosomal RNA (402 nucleotides) under uncultured bacterium. Its description in RNAcentral is "bacterial SSU rRNA". It matches the Rfam family "Bacterial small subunit ribosomal RNA", at positions 102 to 507 of the family's 1533-position model. The record is from RNAcentral.
AAGGGUGAGUAAGGCGACGGUAAUCAACCCCAUGGUUGGGUAUAGCCGCGGGAAACUGCGGGUAAUCCCCAGCGACGUCCGGAUCGGGCAUCCGAAUCGGACCAAAGUCCUGGCGCCGUGGGACGAGCCGUCGUGGUAUUAGGUCGUUGGCGGGGUAAUGGCCCACCAAGCCUAUGAUGCCUACCGGGCGUGCGAGCGUGGCCCGGCACACUGGGACUGAGACACUGCCCAGUCCUCCUACGGGAGGCUGCAGUCGAGAAUCUUCGGCAAUGGGCGCAAGCCUGACCGAGCGACGCCGCGUGGAGGAUGAAGACCUUCGGGUUGUCAACUCCUGUCGAGGGGGAAUCAAGGUCGGGUAACCGGCUUGACCGAUCCCUGGAGGAAGCACGGGCUCAGUUCGUG